This 470-nucleotide ribosomal RNA is filed under the name uncultured bacterium. Its description in RNAcentral is "bacterial SSU rRNA". It matches the Rfam family "Bacterial small subunit ribosomal RNA", at positions 337 to 797 of the family's 1533-position model. The record is from RNAcentral.
UCCUACGGGAGGCAGCAGUGGGGAAUAUUGGGCAAUGGGCGAAAGCCUGACCCAGCGACGCCGUGUGGGCGAUGAAGGCCUUCGGGUUGUAAAGCCCUGUCAGGUGGGAAGAAGGGCUCAGAGACGAAUAAUCUCUGAGUUUUGACGGUACCACCGGAGGAAGCACCGGCUAACUCCGUGCCAGCAGCCGCGGUAAUACGGAGGGUGCGAGCGUUGUUCGGAAUUACUGGGCGUAAAGGGCGCGUAGGUGGUUGUGUAAGUCAGAUGUGAAAUCUCUCGGCUCAACUGAGAAACUGCAUCUGAUACUGCAUGACUAGAGUGCAGCAGAGGGAAACGGAAUUCCUGGUGUAGAGGUGAAAUUCGUAGAUAUCAGGAGGAACACCGGUGGCGAAGGCGGUUUCCUGGGCUGACACUGACACUGAGGCGCGAAAGCGUGGGUAGCAAACAGGAUUAGAUACCCCUGUAGUCCC